CUACGUGCCAGCAGCCGCGGUAAUACGUAGGUCCCGAGCGUUGUCCGGAUUUAUUGGGCGUAAAGCGAGCGCAGGCGGUUAGAUAAGUCUGAAGUUAAAGGCUGUGGCUUAACCAUAGUACGCUUUGGAAACUGUUUAACUUGAGUGCAAGAGGGGAGAGUGGAAUUCCAUGUGUAGCGGUGAAAUGCGUAGAUAUAUGGAGGAACACCGGUGGCGAAAGCGGCUCUCUGGCUUGUAACUGACGCUGAGGCUCGAAAGCGUGGGGAGCAAACAGGAUUAGAUACCCUGGUAGUCCACGCCGUAAACGAUGUCGAUUAGCUGUUGGGCAGCUUGACUGCUUAGUAGCGUAGCUAACGCGUGAAAUCGACCGCCUGGGGAGUACGGUCGCAAGAUUAAAACUCAAAGGAAUUGACGGGGACCCGCACAAGCGGUGGAUGAUGUGGAUUAAUUCGAUGCAACGCGAAGAACCUUACCUGGUCUUGACAU
RNAcentral lists this ribosomal RNA (486 nucleotides) under uncultured bacterium. Its description in RNAcentral is "bacterial SSU rRNA". It matches the Rfam family "Bacterial small subunit ribosomal RNA", at positions 501 to 987 of the family's 1533-position model. The record is from RNAcentral.